CCUANGAAUCUGCCUGGUAGUGGGGGACAACGUUUCGAAAGGAACGCUAAUACCGCAUACGUCCUACGGGAGAAAGCAGGGGACCUUCGGGCCUUGCGCUAUCAGAUGAGCCUAGGUCGGAUUAGCUAGUUGGUGAGGUAAUGGCUCACCAAGGCGACGAUCCGUAACUGGUCUGAGAGGAUGAUCAGUCACACUGGAACUGAGACACGGUCCAGACUCCUACGGGAGGCAGCAGUGGGGAAUAUUGGACAAUGGGCGAAAGCCUGAUCCAGCCAUGCCGCGUGUGUGAAGAAGGUCUUCGGAUUGUAAAGCACUUUAAGUUGGGAGGAAGGGUUGUAGAUUAAUACUCUGCAAUUUUGACG
Molecule: ribosomal RNA, 362 nt
Filed under: Pseudomonas sp. HR04-46
Lineage: Bacteria; Pseudomonadati; Pseudomonadota; Gammaproteobacteria; Pseudomonadales; Pseudomonadaceae
Description: bacterial SSU rRNA
Rfam family: Bacterial small subunit ribosomal RNA
Source: RNAcentral